Molecule: ribosomal RNA, 218 nt
Filed under: Vibrio parahaemolyticus
Lineage: Bacteria; Pseudomonadati; Pseudomonadota; Gammaproteobacteria; Vibrionales; Vibrionaceae
Description: partial 16S ribosomal RNA
Rfam family: Bacterial small subunit ribosomal RNA
Source: RNAcentral
AAAUUGAAGAGUUUGAUCAUGGCUCAGAUUGAACGCUGGCGGCAGGCCUAACACAUGCAAGUCGAGCGGAAACGAGUUAUCUGAACCUUCGGGGGAACGAUAACGGCGUCGAGCGGCGGACGGGUGAGUAAUGCCUAGGAAAUUGCCCUGAUGUGGGGGAUAACCAUUGGAAACGAUGGCUAAUACCGCAUGAUGCCUACGGGCCAAAGAGGGGGACC